RNAcentral lists this ribosomal RNA (87 nucleotides) under Myotis bocagii (rufous Myotis). Its description in RNAcentral is "partial 16S ribosomal RNA". Lineage: Eukaryota; Metazoa; Chordata; Mammalia; Chiroptera; Vespertilionidae. The record is from RNAcentral.
AACUAAAAAUAGCUCAAAAUACAUUAUAUGAUAAUACUCUAAAAAUCUAAAAUAAAACAUUCACUAAAAUAAAAGUAUAGGCGAUAG